CUUGCGGACAUGUGCGGACAUGAACCAGGAUAGCUCGGUCACCAUUGGGAUUUUCAGCUACAUAGAACCACGGAGAACCUAGAAGGACAUAUGCUCAUCACUCUGCAACUUUGAGUCCACAGCUGAUAGGAGUUUUUUGAAGCACCUUCUUCCAUUUGAGAUGGCCACCCCAGUGAAGCUGCGGAUCAUCUUUGGCGAGGAUGACAUUCGCAAACUAGUUCUGCCUUCAGGCAUCCCAGGCACAAUUCAGGACCUCACUGAUGUUAUUCAAGAGACAUUUCGCAUUACAGGAUCAUUCACUGUACUGUAUCAGGACAUGGAUUUUGGUGGUCAGUUUUUCACUUUGACCUCAAUUGAGGAAGUACAAGAUAAGGCUACCCUCAAACUUGUAAUGGCUGAAUCAGUAGUCUUAACUCUCAGCCCUGUAGAAUCCCUAGUACCCCAGUCUUCUGAUGCAAGCUCUUGCCAUUCAUCUGGAUCUCAGGACACAAUCCUGCUUUCCCACCAAGAUGAAAGUGGAACAUCUUACAGAUCUAAGCCAUGGCCAACUAAUUUUGAAAUACCACCUUUUUCUUAUGAUGUUGAACUUGUACUGGAAGCUGGAAACCAGGCUUAUGAAAAGGAAGGCACACUGUUGAUCAACCCGAGAGUAACAAGUAGCAUACUUGACAAGCUAUCAGAGAAAAUAUUUUGCUUCACAGCAUACCCAACUGGUGUCCAGAUUUUAGCUGUAGCUAAAGCCUUGGUAGAAAAGUACCCAUGCCUCAAAGAGCCAGGGUCUUUUAAUGGCUUAUAUGGCUGGCAACAGAGGAUCAAGUAUAAAAUGGGCAAUUACCGGGCAAAGUUAAGAAGUUGCCAGCUAGCUUUUCCAGAACUGGAGGUUAACACACUGAAGAGACGAUGCGCCAAUGAAGAAGGUUCCUCUAAAGGCAUCAAAAGGCCAAAGAAAGCUGAAGUGAACUACCUGCCACCACUGCCAUUAGGUGAGACAGAGGAAACUUUAGAGAAGGAGAGACUAGAUUUGCUCAAGGAAAUAAAGAAGAAGAACAAUGGGAAGA
Chelmon rostratus (copperband butterflyfish) is the source of this 1058-nucleotide long non-coding RNA. RefSeq lists it as uncharacterized. The transcript has 3 exons. Lineage: Eukaryota; Metazoa; Chordata; Actinopteri; Chaetodontiformes; Chaetodontidae. The record is from RefSeq and is a predicted model, not a curated record.